RNAcentral lists this long non-coding RNA (1143 nucleotides) under Nicotiana tabacum (common tobacco). RNAcentral's name for it is "long non-coding RNA (NTAB_LNC011126)". Lineage: Eukaryota; Viridiplantae; Streptophyta; Magnoliopsida; Solanales; Solanaceae. The record is from RNAcentral.
CACAAUAUUCAUAACAGAUCUUUAAUACACAAAACAAACAUCAAAACAGUGGUCUACCACAAACAUACAGUAGUAUCAGCAGCGGCAUUUGGAUGGCCCUUAAAGCUCAAGUUAGCUUGCAAAACCUAACUAAAACAUACUAUAGUAGUUGCUUAAUACCCAACAGAAAUUCAUAUAAUACGAAAUAAAGAUAAAAGUCCAGUGAUCCAUGCUUCAUUAGCGAAGCAACUAGCAGGAAAAAACACUAUUUACAUAGGUUUCAACUUGUUGCCACCCAAAAACUCUCAGCACUUCUCGUGAUGCUUAGAUCUGGUGUUCCCAUUGUAGAGCCUGCCAUUAAAAAUAUAAGAGUUAAGUACUCCAAACUGACGGUGUAAAUUAAAAAAACUUAAAAAACUUCAGAUAUAUAUAUGUGUGAGAGAGAGAUCUGAGUCAUGUAACAUACCAGUCAUAAACAGUGGGAGCGUUAGGGUGAGAGGGCUUGUCAAAGACUUGAGCACCAAUUCUCUUGGUGGCAAUAUUGCUUCCUGGGUGAAAAACACUCCUCCAUACGUUUUCUUUACUUGCCGUCGGUGACGGAGUUGUUGGUGUCGCCGGAGUUCCUGGCGUCGGCGGACUGGCCGGCAUCGAGAGAGACCUCUGGUAUUUGCUAGAUCCUUCUCCAGAUUCCCCACCUGCUCCAUAUUCCAUAAACAAAACAUCACAUAAAGCAAGAAAACAACAAACGAAAACUUUAUAUAUCCAAAACAUAUUGCAUGGCAGCAUCUAUUUUAAUAUCCUUUAAAACAUAUCAAUAUGAAAAUUAAGAAUUUUAAUUAAGUCAGUGGAUCUGUGAUUCUGUUUGUAUAUGUACUUCUAGUUUUUCUUUAAUUAAAUAUUUAUGAGGAUCAAUUGGAAUUCAACGGAACUCACUGCCAGUAUAUAUAUUAUAGGUCCGCCUCUGGUUCAAACAGAGUUUUCAAUUUAACAAAAGGAUUUACAUAUAGGAGUAUAUGCUUUUGAGAAUUAUAUAUAUGAGUACCAGUUUGAACAGUGAGGCUUUUUCGGAGCUUGCCAAGGCCAUUAUCAGGUUGAGGUCCAGCCAUAACAUCAUCCCAUAAUUUAUCAAUCAACACCAUCUUCUCUCUGAUCUCUCUCUUACUU